UAGACCGCCUCCCUCGCGGGCCUGAGAAGAUGCCCCCUACCCGCACCCCUACCAAUGUACUCUGUUGGCUCCGCCAAGUCUCCCUGGGUCUCCAGCCUAGGUGUUCAUAUCUAUGGAGUUCACAAAGGGUGCGGAAGCGGCUCUCGGUGAUCCAGUGUGGACCACUAGGAUGCCCAGAGCUCCUCCAUCCUUGGAGCUCCGGAAGGGGCUCCGUGGUGGGCCUCACGUGAUGUGUGGUUUCCCAGCCCCGUCGUUUUCGUGUUCCUCCUUCAUGUCUUCAUUACCCUCUCCUCUUUCACAUUCUUCAGAAAGAGUGAGCUGUGUUUGAUGAUUUGCACCUGUUAAGUUCAUCUUCAGAGGCUGAGGCAGGAGGAUUGCUAGUUUUGAGGAUCGCCUGGGCAACUUGCCUGGGAGAAGUGUCACCUGUACAACUGGACUCUGUAAAUGGCAGCUGAUGAAGACCACAGACACUAAUGAACUCACAGGAUGCCCCUGCAACCAGAAAACUCCAAAGAUACCCUCUAACAGAAGCCAAACGAGUCUGGGAGGUGGGGAGCCACAUGCUUGAAGAGGGGUGUGUGCCGCACAUGCAUCAGAACUGAAACCUGGUGUGGCAGAGAAGCCAAAGGUGGGUGAGUGGUUGCCAAGUCAGUGGAGAAAACGCCAUCCAGUUAUAUCUAUAGUUUACCAAGCCUCCUGGGGAGACAUGUGCUGCACUAAGGAAAACAUUCAGUAAAGUCUUGUUUUUGUUUUUUCAA
Molecule: long non-coding RNA, 758 nt
Organism: Peromyscus maniculatus bairdii (prairie deer mouse)
Lineage: Eukaryota; Metazoa; Chordata; Mammalia; Rodentia; Cricetidae
Source: RefSeq, a predicted model, not a curated record